RNAcentral lists this ribosomal RNA (1549 nucleotides) under uncultured Mycoplasma sp. RNAcentral's name for it is "partial 23S ribosomal RNA". It matches the Rfam family "Bacterial large subunit ribosomal RNA", at positions 464 to 2006 of the family's 2925-position model. Lineage: Bacteria; Bacillati; Mycoplasmatota; Mollicutes; Mycoplasmatales; Mycoplasmataceae. The record is from RNAcentral.
GCCUAAAUACUAACCAUUUACCGAUAGUGAACAAGUACUGUGAAGGAAAGAUGAAAAGAACCCAGAGAUGGGAGUGAAAUAGAUCAUGAAACCUUUUGCUUACAAAGAGUCAUAGCACAUUAAUGUGUAAUGGCGUGCGUUUUGAAGUAUGAGCCGGCGAGUUAUUGUUGCAUGCGAGGUUAAGCUGACAAAAGCGGAGCCGAAGCGAAAGCGAGUGUGAAUAGUGCGAAUUAGUAUGCGGCAAUAGACCCGAAACGGGAUGAGCUACCCAUGGACAGGCUGAAGGUAAGGUAAAACUUCCUGGAGGGCCGAACCGACUACCGUUGAAAUGUUAGCGGAUGAUCUGUGGGUAGGGGUGAAAUUCCAAUCGAAUUCCGUGAUAGCUGGUUCUCGCCGAAAUAGUUUUAGGACUAGCGUUGGAUUAUGUGUCCCCGGAGGUAAAGCACUGAAUUCAUGAUGGCCUACCCUGUAGGUACUGAAUGAAAUUAAACUCUGAAUGCCGAUGACACUACUCCAGCAGUGAGACCCCGGGGGAUAAGCUCCGCGGUCACAAGGGAAAGAGCCCAGACCAACAAAUAAGGUCCCUAAAUUUAGCUAAGUGGAAAAGGAAGUCUUAAUUCAUAAACAACUAGGAUGUUGGCUUAGAAGCAGCCAUCAUUUAAAGAGUGCGUAAUAGCUCACUAGUCUAGUUUUUUGGCACCGAAGGUAUAACGGGGCUAAGCUAAAUACCGAAUUUUUGGACUGUUUUAAUAUAGCCGUAUUAGCUUAUAGAACAGUGGUAGGCGAGUGUUGUAUUGGAGAUGAAGGCUGAGCGCGAGCACAGUUGGAUCCAACACAAGCAAGAAUGCCGGCGUUAGUAACGUAUGAAAGUGAAAAUCUUUCUAGCCGAUUGAUCAAGGUUUCCAGGGCAAGGGUCAUCCGCCCUGGGUUAGUCGGGCCUAAGAUGAGGCCGAAAGGCGUAGUUGAUGGAGAGCGAGUUAAUAUUCUUGCACCAAUCUAGCUAGUGAUGGGUUGACAGAAGAGGUUAAUAUGGGCGGGUUACUGGAUUCCCGUUUAAAUUUCAAGUGGCCUGGGUAGUUAAAUGCGCCCAGAGACAUGCCAUGAGGAACGAAUACGAGCGAACCCCAUUUGGGUAGUAGCGAAGCCAUAGAUAUCCCAUUCUCAAGAAAAGACUCUAAACUUAUAGCUAGAUUGUCCGUACCUAGAACGAACACACGUGAUCAAGGAGAAAAUCCUAAGGCUAUCGAGAUAACUACAGUUAAGGAACUCUGCAAAAUCACCCCGUAACUUCGGGAGAAGGGGUGCCUAUGAAAAUAGGCCACAGUAAAGAAUGAGGGGGGACUGUUUAACAAAAACAUAGCUUUAUGCAAAAUCGAAAGAUUACGUAUAUGAGGCGACACCUGCCCAGUGCCAGAAGGUCAAUGAAGGAUGUUAGCUUCGCGCGAAGCAUUUAACUUAAGCCCUGGUGAACGGCGGCCGUAACUAUAACGGUCCUAAGGUAGCGAAAUUCCUUGUCAGGUAAAUUCUGUCCCGCUUGAAUGGUGUAACC